GCCGCUAUCGUCUAAUGGUCAGGACACCAGGUUUUCAUCCUGGUAACCGGGGUUCAAUUCCCCGUAGCGGUA
RNAcentral lists this transfer RNA (72 nucleotides) under Patescibacteria group bacterium. RNAcentral describes it as "tRNA-Glu". It matches the Rfam family "tRNA". From Rfam's summary of the family: Transfer RNA (tRNA) molecules are approximately 80 nucleotides in length. RNAcentral also lists the same sequence under 1 other name. The record is from RNAcentral.